AGGGGACCCAGCAGCAAGAGGAAGGACACGGAGCUGGAGAAGCCUUUGGAAAGGGGAAAAUCGGGGCUUGUGGUGAGGAGAGAUGGAGAUGUUGAAGAUGGUCCCCGGGAAGCGCGCCGAAGCUCUUCACCGUGGCUCCCCUUCCGGAGGCGCACACCGGCUCCCACCGAGGGCUCCCGGCAGCACAGUGGGAGAGAACCGAUUUUAAACCACUCCCGUCUUUGUGACUGUGACUGAUUGAGGACAACAAAACGC
RNAcentral lists this long non-coding RNA (255 nucleotides) under Mustela putorius furo (domestic ferret). RNAcentral describes it as "lncRNA (ENSMPUG00000031216.1)". Lineage: Eukaryota; Metazoa; Chordata; Mammalia; Carnivora; Mustelidae. The record is from RNAcentral.